GCGUGCGAAAGGUCAUUUAUGUCGUCUUCUAUGGUUUUUUUUUUCUUUUAGUUUUCCAUGUUUACAAAGCAGUGUUAACAAAACCAACAGGUGCGUAUGUAAAGCAAAAUUAUAUCCGGCAGAAAUUUGAUCCGGAGGAAAAAAUGUCACAGUAGUUGUUAUUUUUUUUAUUGGGAGGAAAAUAUUUCCCCGUGAAAUUCUGUCUUGGUAGUUAACUUAUUAAAUAGUUUUUAGAACAAAC
This 241-nucleotide long non-coding RNA is filed under the name Mytilus galloprovincialis (Mediterranean mussel). The record is from RNAcentral. Lineage: Eukaryota; Metazoa; Mollusca; Bivalvia; Mytilida; Mytilidae.